UUUUAGUUCUACCUAAAGCCCCCCCCCCCGUCUAAUAAACUAAUACUAAUGCUUUAGAGUUAUUCAAGUAAGGUACAGCCUAUUUGAACAAGGAAACAACCUGAACUAAUGGGUUAAUUCUGCUACAGUGUACCUAAGUGGGCCUAAAAGCAGCCACCUUUACAAUAGCGUCAAAGCUUUUCUACACACGCACACCAAUUUCUCAACCUAAUCUUAACCCUUUAUUUUCAUCGAGUACUUCUAUAUCCCUAUAGAACAUAAAAUGUUAAAACUAGUAACAAGAAGAAAGCCCUUCUCUUAAAUGUAAGUAUAAGCCAGAAAGGAUAAACCACUGUCAAUUAACACUAAUGAUUUCUAAUUAGCAACACCACAAGAAAACCCUAAUUAAAUAAAUGUUAAACUAACACAAGAACAUUUCAAGAAAGAUUAAAAGAAAAAGAAGGAACUCGGCAAACAUUAACCCCGCCUGUUUACCAAAAACAUCGCCUCUUGACAAACAUAAGAGGUCCAGCCUGCCCAGUGACCUAGUUCAACGGCCGCGGUAUCCUAACCGUGCGAAGGUAGCGUAAUCACUUGUUCUUUAAAUGAGGACUAGUAUGAAUGGCACCACGAGGGUUACACUGUCUCCUUUUUUUAAUCAGUGAAACUGAUCUUCCCGUGAAGAAGCGGGAAUUUUUUUAUAAGACGAGAAGACCCUAUGGAGCUUUAAACAAAUUAACACUUGCUGCCUAAAAUUAAUCUUCCAGAAGCAUAACAUAUAGCAUAGCAUUAUGAUUAAUAGUUUUCGAUUGGGGUGAUCACGGAGUAAAAAACAACCUCCAUGCCGAAAGGGGCCUCCCCUGAGCAAAAAGCCACAACUUUAAGCACUAAAAAAUUAACGUUAAUUGACCCAAUAACUUGAUCAACGAACCAAGUUACCCUAGGGAUAACAGCGCAAUCCACUUCAAGAGCUCCUAUCGACAAGUGGGUUUACGACCUCGAUGUUGGAUCAGGGUAUCCUAGUGGUGCAGCCGCUACUAAUGGUUCGUUUGUUCAACGAUUAAAACCCU
This 1049-nucleotide ribosomal RNA is filed under the name Boana sp. 4 ML-2020. RNAcentral's name for it is "partial 16S ribosomal RNA". It matches the Rfam family "Bacterial large subunit ribosomal RNA", at positions 869 to 2597 of the family's 2925-position model. Lineage: Eukaryota; Metazoa; Chordata; Amphibia; Anura; Hylidae. The record is from RNAcentral.